This is a non-coding RNA of Pelobates cultripes (western spadefoot toad), 287 nucleotides long. Lineage: Eukaryota; Metazoa; Chordata; Amphibia; Anura; Pelobatidae. The record is from the annotation of a GenBank genome assembly.
ACCAGUAGCUGCUGCAUUUCCCACCCUAGUCUUAUACUCAAAUCAAUAAGUUUUCCCAGUUUUUUGGGGUAAAAUUAGGGGUCUCGACUUAUAUUCAGGUCGACUUAUACUCGAGUAUAUACGGUAUUUGAUAUGUGUGACCAGGGGAGGGCUGGCAGCCUUAGGCCUGGGGGGCAAAACCAGUCAAGUGGCCCGUCAUGCGUUCUUAAGGGGUUAAAGGUUAAUAAGUGUAUAGGGGAUCAGAAACAUUUAUGUCUCUUUAGAGAUGUCUUUUGACUGAAAGCAGC